UGGCGGACGGGUGAGUAACGCGUGGGUAACCUGCCCUAUACUGGGGGAUAACAGCUAGAAAUGGCUGCUAAUACCGCAUGAGCGCACAGUCCCGCAUGGGACAGUGCGGAAAACUCCGGUGGUAUAGGAUGGACCCGCGUCCGAUCAGCUGGUUGGUGGGGUAACGGCCCACCAAGGCGACGAUCGGUAGCCGACCUGAGAGGGUGACCGGCCACAUUGGGACUGAGACACGGCCCAAACUCCUACGGGAGGCAGCAG
RNAcentral lists this ribosomal RNA (258 nucleotides) under uncultured bacterium. RNAcentral's name for it is "partial 16S ribosomal RNA". It matches the Rfam family "Bacterial small subunit ribosomal RNA", at positions 96 to 354 of the family's 1533-position model. The record is from RNAcentral.